Molecule: ribosomal RNA, 1141 nt
Filed under: 'Gazania rigens' phytoplasma
Lineage: Bacteria; Bacillati; Mycoplasmatota; Mollicutes; Acholeplasmatales; Acholeplasmataceae
Description: bacterial SSU rRNA
Rfam family: Bacterial small subunit ribosomal RNA
Source: RNAcentral
AUCUUUUAUCUUUUAAAAGACCUAGUAAUAGGUAUGCUUUAGGAGGGGCUUGCGCCAUAUUAGUUAGUUGGUAGGGUAAUGGCCUACCAAGACGAUGAUGUGUAGCUGGACUGAGAGGUUGAACAGCCACAUUGGGACUGAGACACGGCCCAAACUCCUACGGGAGGCAGCAGUAGGGAAUUUUCGGCCAAUGGGAGGAAACUCUGACCGAGCAACGCCGCGUGAAUGACGAAGUACUUCGGUAUGUAAAGUUCUUUUAUCAAGGAAGAAAAGCAAAUGGCGAACCAUUUGUUUGCCGGUACUUGAUGAAUAAGCCCCGGCUAAUUAUGUGCCAGCAGCCGCGGUAAGACAUAAGGGGCAAGUGUUAUCCGGAAUUAUUGGGCGUAAAGGGUGCGUAGGCGGUCUAGUAAGUCAGUGGUGUAAUGGCAACGCUUAACGUUGUCCGGCUAUUGAAACUGCUAAACUUGAGUUAGAUAGAGGCGAGUGGAAUUCCAUGUGUAGCGGUAAAAUGCGUAAAUAUAUGGAGGAACACCAGAGGCGUAGGCGGCUCGCUGGGUCUUAACUGACGCUGAGGCACGAAAGCGUGGGGAGCAAACAGGAUUAGAUACCCUGGUAGUCCACGCCGUAAACGAUGAGUACUAAGUGUCGGGUUAAACCGGUACUGAAGUUAACACAUUAAGUACUCCGCCUGAGUAGUACGUACGCAAGUAUGAAACUUAAAGGAAUUGACGGGACUCCGCACAAGCGGUGGAUCAUGUUGUUUAAUUCGAAGAUACCCGAAAAACCUUACCAGGUCUUGACAUGUUUUUGCAAAAUGAUAGUAAUAUCGUGGAGGUUACCAGAAACACAGGUGGUGCAUGGUUGUCGUCAGCUCGUGUCGUGAGAUGUUAGGUUAAGUCCUAAAACGAGCGAAACCCUUAUCGUUAGUUGCCAGCACGUUAUGGUGGGGACUUUAACGAGACUGCCAAUGAUAAAUUGGAGGAAGGUGAGGAUCACGUCAAAUCAGCAUGCCCCUUAUGACCUGGGCUACAAACGUGAUACAAUGGCUGUUACAAAGAGUUAGCUGAAACGCAAGUUCUUGGCCAAUCCCCAAAAACAGUCCCAGUCCGGAUUGAAGUCUGCAACUCGACUUCAUGAAGUU